UAAGGAAUAUUGGACAAUGGCCGCAAGGCUGAUCCAGCCAUCCAGCGUGCAGGAAGAAGGCCCUAUGGGUUGUAAACUGCUUUUAUCAGGGAAGAAACCCCUUUGUUCACAAAGGGCUGACGGUACCUGAAGAAUAAGCACCGGCUAACUCCGUGCCAGCAGCCGCGGUAAUACGGAGGGUGCGAGCGUUAUCCGGAAUUACUGGGUUUAAAGGGUGCGUAGGCGGCUAUGUAAGUCAGAUAGUGAAAGUUUGCGGCUCAACCGUAAAAUUGCUUUUGAUACUGCAUGGCUAGAAUCAGGAUGAGGUCAGCGGAAUGUGGCAUGUAGCGGUGAAAUGCAUAGAUAUGCCAUAGAACACCAAUUGCGAAGGCAGCUGGCUAGACCUGUAUUGACGCUGAGGCACGAAAGCGUGGGGAUCGAACAG
This 424-nucleotide ribosomal RNA is filed under the name uncultured bacterium. Its description in RNAcentral is "bacterial SSU rRNA". It matches the Rfam family "Bacterial small subunit ribosomal RNA", at positions 355 to 775 of the family's 1533-position model. The record is from RNAcentral.